UCUGGUUGAUCCUGCCAGUAGUCAUAUGCUUGUCUCAAAGAUUAAGCCAUGCAUGUCUAAGUAUAAAUAGUAUACAGUGAAACUGCGAAUGGCUCAUUAAAACAGUUAUAGUUUAUUUGAUAAUUGACAAUUACAUGGAUAACCGUGGUAAUUCUAGAGCUAAUACAUGCUUAAACGCCCGACUUUAUGGAAGGGUGGUAUUUAUUAGACUGAAGCCAAUAUUCCUUGUGUCUAUUGCGGUGAUUCAUAAUAACUGAUCGAAUCUCUUUUUGAGAUAAAUCAUUCAAGUUUCUGCCCUAUCAGCUUUCGAUGGUAGUGUAUUGGACUACCAUGGCAGUAACGGGUAACGAAGAAUUAGGGUUCGAUUUCGGAGAGGGAGCAUGAGAAACGGCUACCACAUCUAAGGAAGGCAGCAGGCGCGUAAUUACCCAAUCCUGAGUCAGGGAGGUAGUGACAAGAAAUAGCAAACCGGGAACCUCAUGGUUUCACGGUAUUGCAAUGAGAACAAUUUAAAACCCUUAGCGAGAAUCAAGUGGAGGACAAGUCUGGUGCCAGCACCCGCGGUAAUUCCAGCUCCACUAGCGUAUAUUAAAGUUGUUGCAGUUAAAAAGCUCGUAGUUGAACCUCUGUCUGGGGCUAGUUUUGGCUUUGGUCAGGCUAGUUCUAGGCAUCCGCCUACAAGACUUAGAGGGCAUUCAGUUGUUCACUAGGAGGAGUAGGCAUUUUACUUUGAAAAAAUUAGAGUGUUUAAGGCAGGCAAUCGCCCGCAUAUAUUAGCAUGGAAUAAUAGAAUAGGACACUUUUCCAUUUCGUUGGUUAUUGGAAUCGUGUAAUGAUUAAUAGGGACAGUUGUGGGCAUUUGUAUUUAAUUGUCAGAGGUGAAAUUCUUGGAUUUAUUAAAGACAAACUAACGCGAAAGCAUUUGCCAAGGAUGUUUUCAUUAAUCAAGAACGAAAGUUAGGGGAUCAAAGACGAUCAGAUACCGUCCUAGUCUUAACUAUAAACUAUUCCGACUCAAUGUUUGACUGGCUUAUAUAACCAGUUGAGCGUUGUAUGAGAAAUCAAAGUCUUUAGGUUCUGGGGGGAGUAUGGUUGCAAAGCUGAAACUUAAAGGAAUUGACGGAAGAGCACAACCAGGAGUGGAUUCUGCGGCUUAAUUUGACUCAACACGGGGAAACUUACCAGGUUAAAACAAUAGUGGGAUUGACAGUUUGAGAGCGCUUUCUUGAUUGGUUGGGUGGUGGUGCAUGGCCGUUCUUAGUUGGUGGAGUGAUUCGUCUGCUUAAUUGCGUUAACGAACGAGACCUUAACCUGCUUACUAGACUGGCGAUC
This 1332-nucleotide ribosomal RNA is filed under the name metagenome. Its description in RNAcentral is "SSU rRNA". It matches the Rfam family "Eukaryotic small subunit ribosomal RNA", at positions 1 to 1368 of the family's 1831-position model. The record is from RNAcentral.